GCCUGGGUGGCUCAGUCGGUUGAGUGUCCGACUUCAGCUCGGGUCAUGAUCUCACGGUCUGUGAGUUCGAGCCCCGCGUCAGGCU
Molecule: transfer RNA, 85 nt
Filed under: Felis catus (domestic cat)
Lineage: Eukaryota; Metazoa; Chordata; Mammalia; Carnivora; Felidae
Also listed under: 1 other name
Rfam family: tRNA
About the family: Transfer RNA (tRNA) molecules are approximately 80 nucleotides in length. Their secondary structure includes four short double-helical elements and three loops (D, anti-codon, and T loops).
Source: Rfam by way of RNAcentral